RNAcentral lists this ribosomal RNA (628 nucleotides) under Palpoxena sp. JJG230. Its description in RNAcentral is "eukaryotic LSU rRNA". It matches the Rfam family "Eukaryotic large subunit ribosomal RNA", at positions 386 to 811 of the family's 3401-position model. Lineage: Eukaryota; Metazoa; Arthropoda; Insecta; Coleoptera; Chrysomelidae. The record is from RNAcentral.
CCCGAAAGGUCGAAAGAGGAAAUUCAUUCGCGUUUCGGCUGUCGGAGUUGGACGUUCGUAUGACGGAUGAUGUUUCGGCGUCGUCUGCGUCUUACGUUCUUCGAAUCGAUGUCGAACGCGUGCACUUUUCCUCUAGUAGGACGUCGCGAUCCGUUGGGUGUCUGUCUAAGGCUCAAAGUGGAGCCCACUCGAUUUUUGAUCGUGUGGACCUUUGAUGUCCCGACAGACUCGCUCGACGGUAUACUAAUGGUGCGAGGCCGCUAAAACAGUUAGCGUUCGGCCCGUAGCAAGCACGUUCCGUGUUUGAUGGCGAUCGGACCUGGUGCCGAUUCUGUCCCGGAACGACUGUUGGUUACGGUGUUCUCGAACUGACCUCGUUUUGAAACACCGAUCAGCGACGCUAUAGAUUUGGGUACUUUCAGGACCCGUCUUGAAACACGGACCAAGGAGUCUAGCAUGUGCGCGAGUCAUUGGGAUACGACUAAACCUAAAGGCGUAAUGAAAGUAAAGGUUUACCUUGCGUAGACCGAGGGAAGAUGAGCGGUUCGCUUUUACUAGUGACCGCUUCGCACUCCCGGGGCGUCUCGUUCUCAUUGCGAGAAGAGGCGCAUCAAGAGCGUACACGCUG